Molecule: long non-coding RNA, 275 nt
Organism: Thalassophryne amazonica
Lineage: Eukaryota; Metazoa; Chordata; Actinopteri; Batrachoidiformes; Batrachoididae
Exons: 3
Source: RefSeq, a predicted model, not a curated record
CUCGGAGUUAAAUGCAUCAUCCAGUAGUUUUCUUUGUCGUUCGUUCUCCUCUUUUAAACCACAAAGUUCCUCCUCGUAUUCUGCUGUUGUUCUUUCAAACAGCUCAAAUAUCACAUCUUUAUCAUCUGCAGGUAGUCUCUGCUUCAGUAACGCGCUCAGAAUUUGGACUUUAGACAUUUUCACACAAAGACGCAAAGUGUUUCUGCACACAAACGGCCCAGUUAGCAGGCUAAGCUAACUCCGCUAGCUUUGAAAGACAACGAACGGCACAAAAA